GUUAGUUGUGGGCGGGGCCCCAAACGACAGCUUGGUCCACUAAUCGCAAAAGCAAUUAAUUUUAUUUUCUUAAACAAACAAAGAAAAAUAUAUAGAAAAUUGGUAAAUAUAUAACAUACAAAUAUGAAUUGAUUAAAAAUUAAGUUUGUUUUAUUCUUAAUAACUUCGCUGGCACAUGGCAUUAAAUUUCACGCGGGAAGUGGCCUAUUUGAGGCCUACUCGAUUAUUUAGUUAGCAUUUAGGCACAAAGACACAAAUUUAUAUCAUAGUCGGAUAAAUGUUGAAGUAAGAAGAUGAAAUUACCAAAAAAUGACGCUUUCUUCAGUUUCACUGUGGAAAGACCGCGAAGUGAAGUAUACACGCCGUGGUUUCUGUGGAUGGCCCGCGUGUCUUCAGCAGCGGCAGAAUCCUCUGAGGAACUGGCCUGACUCAUCUGCAUCUGUGACAGGUCAUGUCCAUGAGCUGGAGUGGAUAACCCAAAGCGCCCAAACCGGCCCACUAACACUCAAAUCCAUGUUUAAAGAUGCUGUCAGGAAAGGAAAUGCAUGGAAAAGUUGCUACCAGACUGCUGUCUGA
RNAcentral lists this long non-coding RNA (576 nucleotides) under Sinocyclocheilus anshuiensis. RNAcentral describes it as "lncRNA (ENSSANG00000051353.1)". The record is from RNAcentral. Lineage: Eukaryota; Metazoa; Chordata; Actinopteri; Cypriniformes; Cyprinidae.